RNAcentral lists this ribosomal RNA (253 nucleotides) under uncultured bacterium. RNAcentral describes it as "partial 16S ribosomal RNA". It matches the Rfam family "Bacterial small subunit ribosomal RNA", at positions 526 to 779 of the family's 1533-position model. The record is from RNAcentral.
CGUAGGUGCGAGCGUUGUCCGGAUUUAUUGGGCGUAAAGAGCUCGUAGGUGGUUUGUUGCGUCGGAAGUGAAAACCUGCAGCUUAACUGUGGGCUUGCUUUCGAUACGGGCAGACUUGAGGAAGGUAGGGGAGAACGGAAUUCCUGGUGGAGCGGUGGAAUGCGCAGAUAUCAGGAGGAACACCGGUGGCGAAGGCGGUUCUCUGGACCUUUCCUGACGCUGAGGAGCGAAAGCGUGGGGAGCAAACAGGCUU